UACGAAGGGUGCAAGCGUUAAUCGGAAUUACUGGGCGUAAAGCGCGCGUAGGUGGUUCAGUAAGUUGGAAGUGAAAUCCCCGGGCUCAACCUGGGAACUGCAUCCAAAACUGCUGAGCUAGAGUACGGUAGAGGGUGGUGGAAUUUCCUGUGUAGCGGUGAAAUGCGUAGAUAUAGGAAGGAACACCAGUGGCGAAGGCGACCACCUGGACUGAUACUGACACUGAGGUGCGAAAGCGUGGGGAGCAAACAGG
Molecule: ribosomal RNA, 253 nt
Filed under: uncultured bacterium
Lineage: Bacteria
Description: partial 16S ribosomal RNA
Rfam family: Bacterial small subunit ribosomal RNA
Source: RNAcentral